GCUUCCAAAGCACGUCUUACCUGACAGUGCUGGGCUGUACACAGGUGUUCUAACACUGUCUGGUAAUGAUGUCCCCUGAAAGCCCCUCAAACAACCACACCAUCUCAACAACCAAUAUAGGUGCAACGGCACUGUAGCAUACCUGAAGCAGGACGUGUUCACAGUUAGUUCGUUUUUUACUGUUUGGAAAUUGUUUUCAGUCAACUCUGUUUUAGAGAGACCCUCUGUCUGUUGGCAUUGCCAUUGUUCAGGUGUAGACUCUAAGUCACGUGAACUCCAGUUCAAAGUUCAGAACAUGAAAAGAUGGAGACUGUAGUAGGGUCGUUUUUUUUUAAAGGACUACAUAUGUGAAUAAGACGAUGAUGGAACAACUGGCUGAAGGAGGCAUCCAGAACAGGUGACACCAGACUUUAAAGGCUGACAGAGAUAGUCCCAUAGGAAAAGAGGAUGAGGUAAUAGUCCUAAACGUCGUCUGUGGUGAGCACCUACCGCCUAACCCCCCCAUUUGUGAAAAGUAGUUCCUCCCUGCUUCCUGCCCUUUGUGUAGAUUUUCCACCCCACCCAGUAGUUAAAGAAUAGCAGUGAAAUGACUGUUGCAGUAAGAGCCACUUCCUCUUCCCCUCCCCCAGUCGAAGCUGAAUCUGGGCCUUUGUUGGCUCGUGAUUGGUCCAGCGGCCCUACUGUACCUGCGUGCCAUAUUGUGCAGCUGACACCUGAGAUCUGUCUUGUCUGUCAACAAGCUGCUGUAGCUACAAAGACCCUGGCUACUUUCCUCUGAUGCGCCUACCUAGACCUUAUAAUUGUUGUCUUACCAGACAAGUUUAGAUCUAGCUACUCUGUCUAAUACUGUCUGGUAAUGCCGUCCAUUACAAGGUGUCUCAUCGCUCUUCUUCUGUCAGUUUCUUGGACAAUCUGUACAAAUCAACUGGUAUCAGGUCAUGUGAUGUCUUUUUCCCUCAAUGAUGUUUUCCAUAACUGGCUUGUAAGGUUUAAUUGCAGGUCAAAUAAAAAUUGUGUUGAAUUAUGUCAUUGUAUGCAAUAUCCCUAGUCAAAAAAAUCCUAUAGGAUCCCCCCCAAAAAAAUAUCCAAUUGCAAUCCCAAAGAAAUUUCAAUCAGAUUUUGGAAGCUAUCCUAUAGGACUUUAUCCCAUGGUAUAGUGCCUAGUACCUAGGACAGAAUCCUAUAGGAGUCCAAUAGGACUGGUUCCAAAAUCUGAUAGGAUUUUCUUUUGGCUUCUAUUAUUGACUAGGGUAACUUGCUAUUUAAAAAAAAAAUUGUACAGGACAGAUGUAAGUACAGAUAUGGAGACAGAUAUAGAGAGGGGUAAAGUGGUUAAGGGCACAGACAGUCGGCCAAGCCAGGGCUCAAAUCCCCGUCUAGGAGGGGGCAUAUGUGGUCCGGAUUUGGGGGCUUAGACCGCUACACCAGACUCCAGCACACUGAUAAGAUUUUUCUAUUAGAUUCUUGUGUAUAUAAAAUCCUAUUCAAUAGAAUCCUAUAUUACUCCAAUAGGACUGGUUCCAAAAUCUGAUGGGAUUUUCAUAUUGGCCUCUAAUUAGAUCCUUGUAUUGGAAUCCUAUCGGAUUAAACACUAUACGCUAUGGUUAACUUAGCUGCUUAACACAUGGAGCACCCGUGGGCAGUGGACACGUCAACUAUAACAUCAUAAGCAACCAAUAUUGAACUGCCUCCUUUUCCACUUGAGAUGCCGACCCUAUAGUGGAGAACCGCCGGCAAUGUCGAGAUAGGGAAAAUGGGGAGGGAGCACCUUCUAAGGAUGGAGGGAGGGUAGAGGUGACAGCUCUGGGGGGAAGGAGGCAGGGGAGGGGGUACAUCCCUGGUAGGGAGGUAGGGAGGCAGGGAGGGAGUGAGAGGGGUAGGUACAAUCCUGGAAUGGAAGGAGUUGGGGGGGGUGUCAUUAUCUUUAGGUUUUUCUUUUCCUCUCCCUAUCCCAACAGAAAGAGGGUAAAGGUAACAUUCUCUAUUUGAAUGCAUUGCUGACUAUUAUACUGUAUAUUCAAUUAAAGAAUGUUCAUAUCUUUGCGUUACUGUACCUAAAAAUGUAUUUUCAUUCUACUUUUUUUGCAUAUAUGAAAUGUAAAUAUGCUGUACAUUCUAAGGGGGAAACCCCCCAAAAUCUUGCGCUAUUGUAAAAUUGUAUUUAGUUUUGCACAUAAUAUUGUAAUGGCUUCUAAUUCAAAAAACAAGAAGUUGCAUGAAUAAGAAUUAAAUCAAAUAACUCAAGUGAGUGUUUUGUUGAAAAAUGUGUACUGUACUGGUGGUCAAACUCCAAAUGAGCGUGUAGCCUUGAAUCACUCCCAUAUUGUGGUGGUGAAUAAAACCUGUUGUUUCCAAUUAAAUAAAAUAUUGUAAUUCAUGUUGUAUUGUACUGGAACAAAUGACAACAAACUUUAAUUGAAUGGGUUCAAUUAAGAAAAGUUCUGAUUUAAGACGUAUCAAAAACCUAUAGGAUCCAAUAGGAUUCCAGUAGGAUUCUGAUAGAGCUGACACAACAUCCUAGUGUUGUGAAAAUCUUAUAGGAUUUUAUUGGAAAAAACACUAAUCCUGUAGGAUUUUUUGACUAGGGAUGCCUUGAAUAGUUAUGUCUUACAGUGUUUUGUUAAUUAUGUUAAAGGUCUUAAACUCAGGUUUUUUGUGUGUUUUUCAUUAUCAUAUGAAUCAUUAUAAACUGCAUACAGUGUAGUUUUGCACAACUACUAAAAUUCAAAAUUACUAUAUUAACCUGCAAACAUAUUUCUUACAGUGAAAUCAUCAUAGAGAUAAAUUCAAUCACUACUCACUUUAAAGGUCAAUUGCAGCUGUUUUUUUUAAAAUCUCAAUAUCAAAUAAUUUCUGGCUAACAAUUAAGUACCUUGAUGUGAUUUUUUUUUCAAUUAAAAUUGUCAAAAAUAAACAAAAAUUGCUUCUUAGC
Molecule: long non-coding RNA, 2932 nt
Filed under: Salmo salar (Atlantic salmon)
Lineage: Eukaryota; Metazoa; Chordata; Actinopteri; Salmoniformes; Salmonidae
Description: lncRNA (ENSSSAG00000090155.1)
Rfam family: mir-8/mir-141/mir-200 microRNA precursor family (bases 8-76)
Source: RNAcentral